RNAcentral lists this unclassified non-coding RNA (3641 nucleotides) under Leishmania donovani. Its description in RNAcentral is "gene:LdHU3.08.0290(CDS-product:ubiquitin-activati ng_enzyme-like_protein)". The record is from RNAcentral. Lineage: Eukaryota; Euglenozoa; Kinetoplastea; Trypanosomatida; Trypanosomatidae.
AGUGCCAAGAACGCGCACACGCCCAGAAAGUAUCGAGUAGCGUACGAUGAGCGACGGCUGCAUGGGCUCUGUCGUAGACGUGCAUAUUGGGCACGUUGUCAUCCCUCAUGCCAGCGCGGCCGCAGCAGCCGAAGCAGCCGAAGCGGCUGUGGUGUUCCCGUCGGCCGGGCCGGCGCACAAGAAAGCGCGCAUCGAAGCUGUGGCGACGCGGAGCAGCGCUUCGGCGCCCGCGGAUGUUGUGAUCGUUACCGCGUGGUCGGAAGAGCGUAUCACCGACGCUCUUCGACGCUACGCUGUCGCUGCCCUAGAAGCGGCUUCAUGUGAGGCGGCGGCGGGCAGUGCUUCGUCCCCCUCCACCGCUGCUGCUGCUGCGGCUGUUCUCAAGGCUGUGAAUGAUGCUGCCAGCAGCUGGGUGGCCGUGUGGCCAGCGGUGCGUCUCUCUCCGACGCCUGCAGACAUGACUGGUAGCGGUGGCGAGGCAACGACAUCCACCAUGGCCAGCUGGUCGACAGUCAGCUUCUCCUUUGUACCUGGGGCUCUCGAGUCAACCGCCUCCGCUACUGCGAAGGGAGCCCACGCCGGCAUCAGCAAGGCAACCGUGCCGGACGCUGCGCCCGCCGUGGACGCCGUGACGCUUCGUGUCUUGGCUGCAAUCUCUCUUCCCCGUGGCCUCUGCGUGCCCUACCGAGGCAUCGCGACUGCGGUCACGGCUGGCGGCUGCGCUGGGUGUGUAUCUGCCGUGCUCACCGAGUCCAUCCAAAUCCGCGCCGCCACAGCAACACCUCCGGCUGCGUCGUCUUCUGUGCCGCACUCACCUGCGUCUAGGUCGGCGGCGUCCCCAUGCACGUAUGGCAUGCUGCCGGCGGAGCUGCGGGCGAGACCUAUCUUUGUUGUUGGGGCCGGCGGCAUCGGCUGCGAGGUGCUCAAGGUUCUGGUGCUGAGCGGCUUCACGCAGGUCCACCUCAUCGACCUCGACACGAUCGACGCGACGAACCUCAAUCGACAGUUUCUCUUCCGGGUGGCAGAUGUCGGGAACUCAAAGGCGGACACGGCCCGCCGCGCCGUGCUUGACUGGUUCGCGGCAGCCGAUGACCCGGCACCCGAGCACGUCAGUGUUCUCCGUGGCCGUCGUACGCCGCCGAGCAUUGUUGCGUACCACGACAACGUCAAGGCUGAUCGCUACGACGACGCUUUUUACCGGCAGUUUGCCGUGGUGCUGAGCGCGCUGGACAACGUGUCGGCACGACAGCAUGUGAACCGCAUGUGCAUGCGCAACAACAUCCCCCUCAUCGAGAGCGGCACGAUGGGGUACAACGGGCAGGCGCAGCCCAUCCUCAAGAACGUGUUCGAGUGUUACGACUGCCGGCCAAAGCCGCCCGAGACGAGGACGUUUGCCGUAUGCACCAUUCACGCGCGCCCGACGACGAUGGUGCACUGCGUGCACUACGCGAAGGAGCUGUACGAAGUUCUUUUUGGCAGCGACUCGUCGGACAUGGAUGGCAAGGGCGCGAGCGCCCUCUCGGAUGUUGGUGCCACGGCCGAGGCCGGCAGCGGCUCUGCCACGCCCUUGCAAGUGGAUAAGCAGCAGCACGGCGCAACAAGGCCGACUGAUGGGGGCGAGCUGUCGUACCUGCGCGCCAUGGUGUCUGACUGGCGACGCCGCGGGAAGCUGGCGGCGUCGCCAGGGUGCACCGGCGCACCUACGUGCGCCUUGGUCGAGGCUUCGUCUACGCUAGGCCACAAUGAUGUUGGUGACCGUAGUGGACGUGAAGGCAGCCGUGCUUCGUCCGCUGCUGCCCUCGCUCUCGAACUGCUGCGCCUGCUUUUCGUGACCAAAGUCGAGGAACUCCUGUCUUUGAAGACGUCCUGGCCAACGGAGCCGCCGGAGCCGCUGAGUCGACGCGAUGUCGAUCGCGUUGCGGCGGCGCACAUCUCCGCGAAUGCCACCGGGGCAUCACCGGCGCCGCUAUCGGGGGAUCAUGUGCUGUCGGUGCAGGACUGCAUGGAACUGUUCGUCAGGGCGGUGACGCAGUGUCUUGCCCGUCCAACCGGGUUGACCUUCCGGAAGGAGGACGACGCAGCGACUUCCUUCGUCAGCGCUACCGCAAACAUGCGCGCGCACGUGUUCCACAUCGCGGAGCAGUCGCUCGAGGACGUGCGGAGCAUUGCCGGCUCCAUUAUUCCGGCUAUCGCCACGACCAACGCGACUAUCGCCGGGGCCGUGGUGCACGAGUUGAUCUCGCUGCUGCGCAGCAGUAGCAGCAGUUUCUCCCAGCCUGCGAGCACGAGUGCUGCUCAGCUGGCACCACUGUCGCAGGCAGAGGUGACAGGCGUGUCAGCCCCCGUGUCCAUGCAGACAUCGCCCCGCGCGCACGUUGUGUACACCCGCAAGGUGCCACAGGUGCGCCGCCGCCGAGUGCCGUUGCCGCCAGGCCAGCGAUACACUACCCCCGCUCUCUUCAUGGAAUAUGCCGGUGACGACGCACCUUCGGCGAACGAGAGUGCCUCGAAGUUUGCUGCCCCCUGUGCGCCGCUGCAGGCGGCGCUGGCGUUGGUAGGCGCGGAGGACAGCACCGCAUAUCUUCCCCGUAUGUCUGGCGCCGCAGAAGGGGGCGGCAAGGCGAGGCGAAGUGUAGCCGUGAUGGACCACUACCUCGUGCACAGCACCGCGCCGAAUCCACCGAACCGCCUGCACUGCGGCGUUUGCCAGGACGUGCAUCCAGAAGUGUGCGUUACGCUCGAUCUGCGCUCUGCAACGCUCGGCCAGCUUGCCCACCUUGUCCUCGAGAGUGCAUUGGGGUUGGAGGCUCCGUCAGUCAGUUACGGAUCCACCAUGCUGUAUGAGGAUGAGGACUACGAAGAGCUGGCUGACCACAUCCUCGCCGAUGUGCUGCAGCUUCCACCCGCCGAGGCAGGUGGGGUCGCCCACCAACGUCAGAGCUACACUCUCACCGCUGACGCGCUCAACAAGGACGUACCAUGGAGUGUAGUGCUGACGCAUGACGACAAGGGGGCGGCGACAUCAGCGCCGUCACCGUCAACCGUGUUCUUCCAGAUCUCCGGACUAGAGGAGGCAAAGGCGGCUGAAGAGAGAGCCUUGGCCCGUCUCGCGGCGCAGCAAGCGCAACAAGAGCCGCCUGCUGAAGAAGACGAGGAAGAAGCCCUCGGUGCACCGCCAGGAACGACAGGCCUCGCUUCUUCAGCAGCGGCCACGACUGCACCGGUGGCGGUGGAGUUCAUUGUAUCAGAUGACGACGAGGUGCUGGACGUGACGCCUGCAACGAACGCUCCAUCGAACGUCGCGGCAAAGGAGGACAUCGUGCUGCUGGACUAGCGGUGCGUGCGUGCGUGUGGAGCGCGUGCACCGCCGUGACGACUUGCCAUGAAUCACAGGCGUGCACGCGCGGCGACACGGGAGUGCAAGAAGGCAGCAAUCUCUCUCUCCGCAAUGCUGGCGGCGCGGAUUGCUUAAUCCUCGCUCUGUGCGUGUGCCUCACGGCUCCACGGCGCCGCCCUCCACCCACCUAUCAUAAGCCGGUGAAAGAGCUUGCGCACGGCUGUUGACGUGUGCGUUCUCCGGCUGCUGCGGCUGCCUCGCGCCUUCACAGGCAAUGGGCAUCAUCGUGCACGACCUCUCUCCG